UGCCAGCCGCCGCGGUAAUACGAAGGGGGCUAGCGUUGUUCGGAAUUACUGGGCGUAAAGCGCACGUAGGCGGAUUAGUCAGUUGGUGGUGAAAUCCCGGAGCUCAACUCCGGAAUUGCCUUCAAUACUGCUAGUCUUGAGUUCGAGAGAGGGUGGUGGAAUUCCCAGUGUAGAGGUGAAAUUCGUAGAUAUUGGGAAGAACACCAGUGGCGAAGGCGGCUAACUGGCUCGGUACUGACGCUGAGAUGCGAAAGCGUGGGGAGCAAACAGGAUUAGAUA
RNAcentral lists this ribosomal RNA (279 nucleotides) under uncultured bacterium. RNAcentral's name for it is "partial 16S ribosomal RNA". It matches the Rfam family "Bacterial small subunit ribosomal RNA", at positions 506 to 784 of the family's 1533-position model. The record is from RNAcentral.